Molecule: ribosomal RNA, 497 nt
Filed under: uncultured bacterium
Lineage: Bacteria
Description: partial 16S ribosomal RNA
Rfam family: Bacterial small subunit ribosomal RNA
Source: RNAcentral
GAUGAACGCUGGCGGCGUGCCUAAUACAUGCAAGUCGAGCGAACAGAUAAGGAGCUUGCUCCUUUGACGUUAGCGGCGGACGGGUGAGUAACACGUGGAUAACCUACCUAUAAGACUGGGAUAACUUCGGGAAACCGGAGCUAACACCGUAUAACAUAUUGCACCGCAUGGUUCAAUAGUGAAAGGCGGCGGUGCUGUCACUUAUAGAUGGAUCCGCGCCGUAUUAGCUAGUUGUUAAGUUAACGGCUUACCACGGCAACUAUACGUAACCGACCUGAGAGGGUGAUCGGCGACACUGGAACUGAGACGGGGUCCAGAGGCCUACGGGAGGCAGCAGUAGGGAAUCUGACGCAAUGGGCGAAAGCCUGACGGAGCAGCGCCGCGUGAGUGAUGAAGGUCCUCGGAUCGGAAAGCUCGGUUAUCAGGGAAGAACAAAUUUGUAAGGAGCUGUGCACAGCGUGACGGUACCUGAUCAGAAAGCCACGGCUAACUACGUG